ACGCUCGACACCUACGAGAGGCAGCAGUGGGGAAUAUUGCACAAUGGGGGAAACCCUGAUGCAGCGACGCCGCGUGGAGGAAGAAGGUCUUCGGAUUGUAAACUCCUGUUGUUGGGGAAAAAGAGGAUGGUACCCAACAAGGAAGUGACGGCUAACUACGUGCUAGCAGCCGCGGUAAUCUGAGCGGGCUGGCAAGGC
This 198-nucleotide ribosomal RNA is filed under the name uncultured bacterium. RNAcentral describes it as "partial 16S ribosomal RNA". It matches the Rfam family "Bacterial small subunit ribosomal RNA", at positions 328 to 539 of the family's 1533-position model. The record is from RNAcentral.